Molecule: unclassified non-coding RNA, 324 nt
Filed under: uncultured Tomentellopsis
Lineage: Eukaryota; Fungi; Basidiomycota; Agaricomycetes; Thelephorales; Thelephoraceae
Description: sequence contains ITS2
Rfam family: 5.8S ribosomal RNA (bases 1-52)
Source: RNAcentral
AACGCACCUUGCGCUCCUUGGUAUUCCGAGGAGCAUGCCUGUUUGAGUGUCAUGAAAUUCUCAACUGCCCCAGGCUUUUGUGGCUUGCAGGGUGAAGUUGGACUUGGAGGGAUGCUGGCGCAUGAAUAGGGCUUUGUGCCUUGCUGUGCUUGUCGGCUCCUCUUGAAUGCAUGAGCUUUCCAAUCCUUGGCAAAGUAUCGUCGAUGUGAUAAUUAUCUGCAUCGCCCGAGAAAGCCCAAAAGGGGAAAUCUUUGAUCAUGCUGGGGUGAACCCAUGUUUGACAAAUUCGACCUCAAAUCAGGUAGGACUACCCGCUGAACUUAA